Molecule: non-coding RNA, 614 nt
Organism: Zonotrichia albicollis (white-throated sparrow)
Lineage: Eukaryota; Metazoa; Chordata; Aves; Passeriformes; Passerellidae
Source: RefSeq, a predicted model, not a curated record
GAAAUACUAAUUUGCUGUGUGUCUGCAGGGCUUGCAUGGCAGUUUCUACCUCUUGGAGAGAAAAAAGCAGUUGGAGAAGCUGCAAGCACAGGUAUGCCAGGAAGGCCAAAUCUUCUAAACUGAUUUUUGCAAGUGGAAGAGACAAAAGAAAAGCUGAUAAUUUUGUCUGGUGGCUGCUUCUGCUUUGGUUUAGAGCCACAGGAGUAAAUGAGUCCUUGAGUGAAUAACUACGUAUCACCCUAAAGAGAACAACCCUCAUGUACUUCAUCUGCAAAAAAUUCAGAAAACUGGAAACUACAUAACAACAACUAGCAGGAUAACCGGGCAGCUCAAGACUUUGGCACCAGGAUUUUGUAGCCAUCUUUGAUGUAUCCAAGUCUCUCCUGUGUUUCAUUCCCAAAGGAAUUUGCCUCAUAAAAAAGGCAGAGAUUAAAUGAUACAAAUAUGUAGAGAAAAUGUCACCUAGCAAAAUCAACAGAGGGGAAAAACAGUGUGUAGAGAAGAGAAUUCUACCACAACCAAACAAAACUAUAAAAAUAAGAUACAGUAGUAACAGCAUUAGACUUUUUGUGUUUAAUGUAGAGUCUGUGGAGUGGUGCUGAGUAGAAGUUCAG